This is an RNA transcript of Mirounga angustirostris (Northern elephant seal), 15161 nucleotides long. It is a transcript of the gene named DExD/H-box helicase 60, with no coding region annotated. The transcript has 52 exons. The record is from RefSeq and is a predicted model, not a curated record. NCBI's taxonomy places the organism in Eukaryota, Metazoa, Chordata, Mammalia, Carnivora, Phocidae.
AAAGACUGGCUGCGGCGGCUCCGCUAGUCAGAAGCCCGGGUUCAGACCCUCCGCCCAGCUUCCUCUCGCGCUCCAGAGAGAAACACAGCCAGAGAGGGAACACGAGCAGGGGGAGUGGGAGAAGGAGAAGCAGGCUUCCUGCGCAACAGAGAGCCCGAUGCGGGGCUCAAUCCCAGGACCCUGGGAUCAUGACCUGAGUCGAAGGUCUGUCAUUUUCAUUAAUAACUGCUGCUUAGAGGUACCAAAGUAAAGGAUAUUUGCUAUAUUUAAUAUUUUCCAGUUCAGGUUCGAGGCCCAGGUUGAGCAGCAAGAAUGGAUUUAGAAGAACACGCGAUGGUUUUAGAGAGAAUGUCACAGCUGAUUUUGAGUGCAGUGCCAAAAGCUGAAUAUUCCAGUUUAUUCAAUGAUUUUGUUGAAUCUGAAUUUUUUCUGAUUGAUGGAGAUUCAUUACUUGCUACAUGCAUAUGUGAGAAAUCAUUAAAGCCAGGGCAGCAGCUCCACUUCUUCUAUCUGGUUGAAUGCUAUCUUACGGAUCUUAUCAGUAAAGGAGGACAAUUUGCCAUAGUUUUCUUCAAGGAUGCUGAGUAUGCAUAUUUCAACUUCCCUGAACUUCUUCCUUUGAGAACUGCUUUAAUUCUUCAUCUUCAGCAUAAUACCAGCAUUGAUGUUCGAACAAAAUUUUCUGGAUGCCUGUCACAGGAGUGGGAGAUUUUCUUGGAAGACAGUUACCCAUAUUACCUGAUAGUUGCCGAUGAAGGCCUGAACCAUCUACAAACAUACCUUUUCAACUUUUUAAUUACUCAGUCUUGGGCAAUGAAGGUCAACAUUGUGCUUUCCUCAGGGCAAACAUCUGAUAUUCUUCGACUUUAUGCAUACCUUAUGCCAAGCAUGUAUAAAAACCAACAAUUUUUCAAAGAGAAUAAAAAGAAGAUUGAGAGUGCUUAUAAAACCCUGAUUAAACAAUUGGAAGAAUGUAGAAUUUCAGCACUAGAAUCUCUUUUUGGAAAUUUAAAAUGGAAGAAUAUGAUGGAAGAGGCAUGUGAAACUAUUUCUCAGCUUAAGCAACUCUGGCCAGAAGGAUCUGACAUUCGGCGUGUUCUUUGUGUUACUUCAUGCUCAUUGUCUUUGAGAAUGUACCAUCACUUUUUAGAAAAUAGAAAGAAGACUACCUCUGUUGAGAAAACUAACAUCCAAGAGGGGGAAAGUAAGUGCUUAGCCCUGCAAGAGAUGGAAGAUUUGUGUAAACUGCAUUGUCUCAGUGUGGUUUUCCUACUCCACUUACCUCUUUCUCAAAGAGCCUGCACUAGAUUCAUCACUUCCCACUGGACUAAGAACAUUCACACUUUCUUAGAAAUGGAAAAGUGGUGUGAAUAUUUCAUCCUAAGUAAUAUAAACAUUUGUGAGUUUUGGAAUCUGAAUUUAAUUCACCUUUCGGACUUAAGUGAUGAACUUUUGUUGAAGAAUAUUGCUUUUUACUAUGAAAAUGAAAAUGUUGAAGGCCUACAUUUGAAUUUGGGAGAUGUCAUUAUGAAAGAUUAUGAACAUCUCUGGAAUACUGUGUCAAAGUUGGUCAGAAAGUUUGCUGUUGGAAAGCCAUUUCCUCUGAGAACAACAAAACUUUCUUUUCUUGAAAAGAAUCCAUCACCAAUCAAAGAUACCGCCAAGGAAAACAUUCCUAAUUUGGGAUUUAUUUCAAUGUCAUGUGAAGUGGUUGAUAAGUUUGUUGGUGACCUUUUGACAGAUUUGCCUUUCUUAAAGAGUGAUGAUCCUAUUGUAACUUCACUAGUUAAACAAAAGGAAUUUGAUGAACUUGUGCAUUGGCAUUCUCACAGACCCCUUAGUGAUGAUUAUGACAGGACGAAGUGUCAAUUUGAUGAAAAAUCUAGAGAUCCUCAUUGUCUUAGGUCUGUGCAGAAGUAUCAUGUUUUUCAACGAUUUUAUGGGAAAUCAUUAGAAUCAGUCUCUCCAAAAGUUGUUGUAACUCAAGCUGUCAAGCCAAAGAAUAAGGUCAUUGCACCCAAGAACAAAAAGGCACAUGAGACCAAGGCUGAAAUAAUUACUAGAGAGAAUAAAAAGAGGUUAUUUGCUAAGGAAGAAGAGAAAGAGGAGAAAAAAUGGAGUGUUCUGUCAUUUUCUAUUGAGGAGGAAAUGAAAGAAAACUUAAACUCUGGAAUAAAGAACCUGGAAGAGUUUUUGAAAUCAUGUAAAAGUAACUCAGUGAAAUUUCGAGUUGAAAUGGUAGCCUUAACUGCCUGCUUGAAAGCAUGGAAAGAACAUUGCAGAGGUGAAACCACAAAAGAUUUAAAUAUAGCUGUUCAAAUGAUGAAAAGGAUCCACUCCUUGAUGGAAAAAUACCCAGAACUUUUGCAGGAGGCAGAUCAGCAACUUAUAGCCAGAUGCCUGAAGUAUUUAGGAUUUGAUGAAUUGGCAAGUUCUUUAUAUCCAACCCAGGUUGCAAGAGAUGACAUGAAGAAAACAGAUAAAUACUCAAUUGGCAUUGGGCCAGUUCGGUUUCAACUACAAUACAUGGGCCAUUAUUUGAUACGAGAUGAGAGAAAAGAUCCAGAUCCCAGGGUUCAGGAUUUUAUUCCUGACACAUGGCAGCGAGAGCUCCUUGAUGUUGUGGAUAAUAAUGAGUCAGCAGUGAUUGUCGCCCCAACGUCCUCAGGCAAAACCUAUGCUUCCUACUAUUGCAUGGAGAAGGUGCUGAAGGAGAGCAGUGAAGGGGUGGUUGUGUAUGUUGCACCAACAAAGGCCCUUGUUAAUCAAGUGGCAGCAACUGUUCAGAACCGUUUUACCAAAAGUCUGCCAAAUGGUGAAGCUCUAUGUGGUGUUUUUACAAGGGACUAUCGUCACGAUGCCCUAAACUGUCAGGUACUUAUUACAGUGCCUGCCUGCUUUGAAAUUCUGCUAUUAGCUCCUCAUCGCCAAACAUGGGUGAAAAGGAUCAGAUAUGUUAUAUUUGAUGAGGUCCAUUGUCUUGGUGGAGAAAUUGGAGCAGAAGUCUGGGAGCAUCUCCUUGUCAUGAUCCGAUGUCCCUUUUUGGCUCUUUCAGCAACCAUAAGUAACCCUCAGCAUCUCACUGAGUGGCUACAAUCAGUAAAACACUACUGGAAACAAGAAGACCAUACAAUGGGAAAAAAUAUUGCUUUUAAAAGAGAUGCUGGCCGUUGUGCCACUUCUCCCAAAGAUUACUUCCGAAUAAAGGAAUCGUAUAAAGUUAGACUUGUGCUCUAUGGAGAGAGAUACAAUGAUUUAGAGAAGCAUAUAUGUUCGAUAAAACAUAAUGACAUCUAUUUUGAUCAUUUUCACCCAUGUGCCGCACUAACAACAGAUCAUAUUGAAAAGUAUGGAUUUCCUUCUGAUCUUACCCUUUCCCCUCGAGAAACCAUCCAGCUUUAUGAUACCAUGUUUCAGAUCUGGGAAAGAUGGCCCAGGGCCCAGGAGUUCGAUCCAGAGAAAUUCAUUCAUUUUAAGAAUAAAAUAGUCAUUAAAAAGUUGGAUGCUAGAAAAUAUGAAGAGAGCUUAAAGGCAGAACUAACAAGUUGGAUCAAAAAUGGCCAUGCCGAGGAGGCCAAAGUGGUUCUGAGGAAUCUUAGUCCUGAUUCAGUUUUUAGUUCAGAAAACAUGAAAAGAAUGUUUCCACUUCUCGUUGAAAAGCUAAGGAAAAUGGAAAAGUUACCGGCAUUAUUUUUUUUAUUCAACUUAAGAGAUGUAGAACAAACAGCUAUAUGUGUGAGAAGUUUCCUGGAGCAAAAGCAAAAGAGACAAAGACCUCCUAAAGCUGAUAAAGAAGCCUAUGACAUGACUAACAAACUUCGAAAAGUUAAAAAAUCCAUUGAGAAACAAAAGACAAUAGAUGAAAAAAGCCAGAAAAAUCCCAGAAAAAUGGAUCAAAUCCUAAUACAUGAAGCUGAACAUAAUAAUCUACUCAAGACUUUAGAGAAGAACCUGGAAAUCCCUCAGGAGUGCACAUAUGCUAAUCAAAAAGCUAUAGACACUGAGACUUUGCAGAUGGUGUUUGAUCGAGUAAAAUUCACAAGAAAGGGUGCAGAACUGAAGGCUUUGGCAAGAAGGGGUAUUGGAUAUCAUCACAGCUCUUUAAACUUCAAAGAAAAGCAGUUAGUUGAGAUUCUUUUUAGGAAAGGUUUUAUUAGGGUGGUGACAGCUACUGGGACACUUGCUUUAGGAAUCAACAUGCCUUGUAAAUCUGUGGUUUUUGCUCAAAACUCAAUCUAUCUGGAUGCUUUAAAUUACAGACAGAUGUCUGGACGUGCUGGAAGACGAGGUCAAGACCUGCUGGGAGAUGUAUAUUUCUUUGAUAUUCCAUUGCCCAAAAUAGAAAAACUCAUUAAAUCCAAUGUUCCUGAACUGAGAGGACAAUUCCCUCUCGGCAUUACCCUGGUCCUGCGACUCAUGCUGCUGGCUUCCAAAGGAGAUGACCCAGAGGAUGCUAAAGCGAAGGUGCUGUCAGUGCUAAAGCAUUCAUUGCUGUCCUUCAAAAAACCCAGAGUCAUGAAGAUAUUAAAACUUUAUUUCUUGUUUUCUUUGCAAUUCCUUGUGAAACAGGGCUAUUUAGAUCAAGAAGGUAAACCAAUGGGGUUUGCUGGACUUGUAUCACAUUUGCAUUAUCAUGAGCCUUCUAAUCUUGUUUUUGUCAGUUUUCUUGUAAAAGGCCUUUUCCAUAAUCUCUGUCAGCCAACUAGGGAAGGCUCAAAACAUUUUUCUCAAGAUGUUAUGGAAAAGCUGUUGUUAGUCUUGGCAAAUCUGUUUGGAAGAAGACCUCUUCCAGCAAAGUUCCAGGAGACUACUGUCAAGUUUUAUCAAUCAAAGGUGUUCCUUGACGAUCUCCCUAAGGAUUUUAAUGAUGCUUUACGUGAGUAUAACAUGGACGUUACAAAGGACUUUGCCUCCUUCCUACUAAAUGUUGCCAAAUUGGCUGAUAUGAAACAGGAAUAUCAACUCCCAUUGUCAAAAAUAAAUUUCACAGGAAAAGAAUGUGAGGGCUCUGAACUGGUUUCUCAUUUGAUGAACUGCAAAGAAGGAAGAGCAGCUAUUUCUCCAUUUGUUUGUCUCUCCGGAAACUCUGAUGGUGAUUUGCUUCUACCAAAUACUCCGAACCAUGUCGUUCUACGCACAAUUGGUAUCAAUCACACUCAGGCUCCUGUGCUGUGGUCAGAGAUCUUGGAUGACCAAGGAAGAAGAAUGCCACUUAAUGCUUAUGCACUUGAUUUCUAUAAACAUGGUUCCUUGACAGGACUAGUCCAGGACAACAGAGAGAGAGAGAGAGCGUGUACAAGCAGGGAGAGCAGAGGGAGAGGGAGAAGCAGACUCUCUGCUGAGCAGGGAGCCCAAUGCAGUCUCCAUCCCAGGACUCUGGGAUCAUGACCUGAGCUGAAGGCAGAUGCUUAACUGACUGAGCCACCCAGGACACAGAAAAUAUGUAUUUUAAUUACUUGAACUUCUGGCACUUUGUAUUACAUUGAUUCAACAUUUAGGACACAAUGUGAUGUCACUAUCAUACAGAAUUUUGCAAUUGCCUGUCAACAGAAUGGGAGAAUGAAAAACAUUUACGGCAUGCCUUGCCUGCCUACAUAAUUGAUUACCAGAAGUCACAGGAAACAGAAAUAUGGUUAUUUGAAACUAAACUUGGGAGACAUGCAGAAAGGUGCAUCAAACCUUGUCCUUGCUUCAGAAUCUGUGGCUGGAAGGAGCUGACAGCUGAAGUGUCCUUUGCUCUGUUUCAGGCUCUGUGAUACUAAAACUCUGUAAAAAAAGUUACAUGAUGCACAAGACUGUGAAAGCCUAAAUACAUGCACCAAAAAUCAUAACACACAGGACUCGAGGAAUCACCAACACUAAAUAAAGCAGCAGAUCUUUGCAGAAUGAACUGCCUUAGUGAGAUUUUCCUUCAAUACUUACCUCUGUUUCAAAGAGCUAAGAAUAAAAUUAUUACUUCUAUUUGGGACAGAACACUUAUACCAUUUCUAAAAAUGAAGGCAAAUGCAGAAGGACUUAUUGAAGAAAAUCAAAGGAGACAGCUAAACUAGAGAAAAGAGAAGAAGAAAGAUGGAAUAAUUUGUCCCUGUAUAUUGAAAAGGAAAUUAAAGAAAAUCACAGUUCUGGAAUAAAAAGACUAGAAGAUUUUCUCCAAACAUGCUUUGUUAAAGCUACAAAAUUUACUGCAGAAAUAGUAGGAUUAGAUGCCUGCUUCAAAUUAUGGAUAGAAUACUGUUCAAAACCAGGUCUUGGUGGAUGGAUUCAGUUUGAAUUUCAAUUCAGGAAACAGUUCUUCAAGAUCAAUCAUGAGCUAAGUAUCUUGUUAAGUACCCACGGGGCUUCUGAAGAGAAUAGCACUUGCUGUGCUCUGAAGGUGGUUAAUAAUCAGUAUCUCAAGGGACUCAGGCACAUGCUGAGCUAACUGCAACAAAAUGCAGUAACCACAACCAUAUAUAUAUAUAUUUAUAUAAUUUUUACACAUUUAUGGAAUCAUCAUAAUAAUUUAUAUGUAAAUUAUAAAGAGUUUUAGUCAAUAUGAUUUAUUUUUAUAAAUUAUCAUUUAUUAUAAUAUAAAAUAAUAUAUAUUAUAUUAAUAUAUUAUAUAUGUAUAAAUUCUUAUUUAUUUCUCACAAUUCUUUGAGGUAGGUUCCAAUACCCUGAUAUUACAUGUAAGAAAUCAAGUUUCCAGGAAAACAAAUUAUACCCAAAUGUCAGUGGAAGAGCAAGGAUUUUAAUAUAAUACUCUUUAUCCAAGGAAUAUGCACAAAUUAAAUAAUCGGCAAAUUGGGGCACAACCAUGUUGUGAAUUAGGGCCAGAAAAUGAACAUUUUUGAUUGGAGGGAAGAUGAAAGACAUUUAUCUCUUAAUUAUGGUCACGGGAAAGUAAAUAUUAAAAGCGUAAAACAUGGAAAGACCCUCUUCUUAAAAAAUGUCAGUGCAGCCCAUACUCUAUAUUAAUCCUUAUAAUUAAUAAUAACUCCUGCCAUUAUGGUAUCAUUUUAUGUGGAUUAAUUUGCUUAAAUCGUAUAAUAGCCACAUGAGGUGAGACUUAUUAGUAUCCUCAUUAUACAUAUAAAGAAAAUAGGGUUGGAGAUGUAACUUUCCAACUUCCUAAAUCAAGCACAGGCAAGUUAAAUUUGAAGUUCAGAUAAACAAUUAAUUUUUAAAAUAUAAGUUUGUGUCAUGCAAUAAUAUUUAUCCCAAACUGGGUCUUCUAUAUUUUUAUUUGCAAAAGCGGGUAUUACUCCUUUAACUUAAGAGCCCACCUUAACUGCUACUGUUCUAAGCAUUAAGUGAAAUGAUGUAUGUAAAGCAUCUAAUAUAUUGUCUGGAUGUAAACAAUGAUCAAUAAUUGGUACUGUCCACACUUGAUUUUUAUUCAUUUUAUUGCUUAAAACUCUCUAGGUCCAGCAGUUAUUAAGACAAGAUUUGACACUUUUGAGUGGCUCAGUUGGUUAAGUGUCUGCCUUCAGCUCAGGACAUGAUCUCAGGGUCCUGGGAUGGUGCCUGCUCAACUGGGAGCCUGCUUCUCCCUCUCCCCCGUCCCUGCUCAUGCUCUCUCUCGCUAUCUCUUUCUCAAAUAAAUAAAAUAUUAAAAAAAAAAAAAAACAGAGAGAGAGAGAGCAUGGACAAGUUCACGAGAGAGAGGGAGGGAGAGGGAGAGGCAGCUAUUCUCAAUUGUGCUGUGGUCGGAUAAAUGCUCCGUGGAAUAGCCACUGAUGACUGCAGGCUUCUUCCUUCCCCGCAACUGUAUAAAGCAGUCAAGAAGCUCUUGGCUAAAUCAGAACUUUUCUCUUCACCCAGAAGGGACUCAGGGUGUUCCUUCCUCUCUCUUUCCCUAGGAGAAACCUUAAUUGCAAGCCUUAAAGUUGCACUGAGAGAAGAGAUUCAGAAUGUUUAUGUUGCGAAGGAUCAUCUGUAUUGUAUGACCCAGUCCUCUCACUUUAGAGAUGGGGAAACUGAGGUUUGGUGAAAUUAAGUAAUGCAUCUAUCAUUGGAUAGCUAACUCAAUUUUUUAAUAAAAAAUCAUCUGAUUUCACCUGUACAGAUGUAGAUCACAUUUAUGUGGCAUAGAUUGUUGUUUAUAGUUUCUAGCUGUCACAUCAAUAAACAUUGUGUGAUAUAUUAUACAUUAGGAAAAACUUUAAAAUGGACCAGUGGGAACCAUUUAGAUAUAAAGUACAGUUGACUCUUGAACCCAGGGUUGGGGCACUGUCACAGUCAAAAAUCUGAAUAUAAAUUUUGACUCCCCCAAACCUUAACUGCUAAUAGCCUACCAUUGACCGGAAGCCUUCCUGAUAACAUAAACAAUUCAUUAACAUAUUUUGUAUGUUAAAUUUACUAAAAAAUGUAUUCUCAUAAUAAAGUAAGCUGGAGAAAAAAUGUUAUUAAGAAAAUCAUAAGGAAGAGAUAAUACAUUCACAGUAUUGUACUUUAUUUAUUGAAAAAAAUCUGCAUAGAAGUGAACCUGCACAGUUCAAACCUAUGUUGUUCAAAGGUCACCUGUAAUUCUUUUAUUAAGAAAGAGUUAUAUAAAAUUGGUACUGCACUUUUUUGCACGUAAAUUGUUCCAGACAUUGGUUUACUUUAAAUAAUUUUUUGCAGUCUAGUCAAUAAUUACUGAAUAGCAGAUUAUGUCUUUUACGAUUUAAGGUUCUUGUUAGUCAAAUGGUAGGAACUCUCCGCAAUUUAUUCACCAAAGCACUGCCAAAAGGACUAGUGAUGUGUAGAGUUUUUACAAGAGAUUACUGUCAUGACACCUUGAAUGAUCAGGUACUUCGAAGAUCUACACAUGUAAUGGAUAUUAACACAUAUUAUGGCACUCCAUUAUGCAGUUGAAGGUUUUAAUGUGAGGAUAAAUUAAAUUCACAAUUACCUUGACAAAUACAUUUGAAUGGAUUAUUUAUGUGAUUUUUCUUAUUUAAUAGUUUGGUCAAUGUUCAAAGAAUUAUAUUUUCUAUACAAAGUAGAAUGCUUUCCUUAUCUGACAUUUUAACAUGAGUAAGUAGCUUCCUUUAGUGGUGAUGGUUUCAAACUGUAAUGAUUUCAUAUUCCCAAUGUAUUAUGUGAGAGAGUGUUUUUUAAUGAAAUAAGCUUAAGUCCUUUUGAAUGCAUCAACCACAACAUACAUCUGUUACACAAAUUCAUUUCAUUUUUCCCCAAAUGAGAUUGUUGUUUUAAUGGAAAUGUCAAUGUGCACACACUGUGCCAUCUAAAAUAUGUUAUUAAGGUUUUUUUUCUCUUUUUAUUUUUAUUUGCAUUUAUUCUGCAGAAUAAAUUUUUGUUUUUGUUUUUGUUUCUUCAGUUUCUUCUGGGAUAUCUUUUUCUUCUGUGCAACCUCUUCUUCUGGUUUAGGAACAAUCUGCUCUUUUUCAGUAAGGAUCAUCUCAAUGUGGCAGGGAGAGCUCAUGUAUUGGUUAAUCUGACCAUGAGCCCUGUUUACUGUCUGGGGGCAGAAAUUGGAGCAGAAGUUUGGAAACAUCUUGUUAUGAUUUGGUGUCCCUUCCUGCACUUUCUGCUAGCAUGGUUGGUGUUAACUAAAAGAUACUGGCAACGUCUUGGGAGCACAAUGGAAAAUUCUGGCUCAUCACAAAAAAGCUAAAAGAAACAACAAUGAAAAAGAAUAGAAAAGCCAUUGUACAGAGUUAGACUAGUUUUUAAAAUUAGUUUCAACUGCUUGAGUUCAAAGAAUAAUUUUGUGGCUGGCUGAAAUAAAAAAAAAUGAAGAAAAACCUUAAGAAGCAUUAUGAAAUUUCUCUGGCCUGUACUUAUACUGACUGCAGUUGUGGAUAAUCAGACUUUAAGGAAGAUCUUACACAGACUGAGAGGAACAAGACAAUGCUAUAAACUACAUUGUCUGUUACAGUGGGGCAUUGGAUAUCAUCACAGAUCAAUGGAGUAGAAACAAAAAUUGUAGAGAUGCUUUUCAGACUGAGGCACAUCAAGAGAGCAGAGAGAGAGAGCACAAGCAGGUGGAGUGGGAGAGGAGAAGCAGGCUUCCCACAGAGCAGGGAGCCCAAUGCGGGACUCAUCUCAGGACCCUGGGAUCAUGACCUGAGCCGAAGAUGUCUGGUCGUGCAGGAAGAUGUGGAAAAGAUCUUUUAGGAAAUGGGUUCUUCUAUGAUAUUCCAUUACCUAUGACAGGCACUUAAAGUCUAAUGUGUCCAUCCAUACAGAAGGGUCAAUUUCCUCUAAGAAUAUCUUUGGUUCUCUGACUUAUUAGUUGCUAAAGCAAACGACAAAGAGGAUGCCAAAGCAAAGACAUUAUCAGUUCUCCAACAGUCAUUGAUAUUCUCCAAGCAACUGAAGAUCAAGUGCAUGGUAAUUCUAGAUGAUCUUCUCAAGGACUUUGCUACAGUGGUUGAGAAACACAAUGACAAAAUUCAAAAGAAUUUUGGUUUCUCCCUCUUAAUGAUUUCUAAGUUGGAUGACAUGAAAAAAGCAUACCAACUACCUCUGUCAAAAAUUGGUAAGAUUGUGGAAUGUACAUGAACAUAACGCAAAGUCAAUAAAAGAAAAUGAAUGUAAAUAUUUUGAGAUAAAGCUAAACUUUAGAAAAUGAGGACAAAAUUAUUGCAAAUAAAAUAUACCAGAAACAAUCUUUCAGAUCUAUGCUCUAGAAUUUUAUACCAGAAAGGUCUCAUAUUAUUUGGGAUUAGUUAAACCACCCUGGAUUUGACUUGACACUAAAUGUGUAAAAUAUGUCUAUAUUUUUCUAGUGUCAUUAUAAACUAACAGACCAUUGCAUGGGCUAAAUUUAUUCUAGAAUAUCUCCUCUCCUAUUGAUGCUGUUUGCCUUUUAGUAGAUACUGGCAUUCUUAACUAGUUAAACUUUCAAAUCUGGAUAAUGUUGAAAAUAUACGAAAAGAAAUUUUGGCAUAUUUAUUAAGGGUCAUAAGUGUCUUAUAUUUCCUUGAGUACUAUGGGGGGCAGCAAAGAAGGUGUUUCCCAUGUCUUUGAGGAAAGGAUAGAAUAAAAGAAAAAGAAAAUAACAAAAAUAUAGGGAAAAUUCUGUAAUGUAUGCCAGGUAGAGUAAAGGCGUUAGAAGUAGAGGAUAUACUUAGCACCCCAAGAUGAAAAGGAGAGAAGGAGAGGGCACUCAGAGGAAAAUGAAAGGUGGCAGAAUUUCCCUUCCUUCAUUUCCAUAAGCAAGGAGAAAAAAAUGGAGCAGUAAGGGUUGCUUUGGUUUAUUCGUAUUUCUGGAUAGACUAUUAGGUUGGAAUGUAGAGGCUUGUGAAGGACAAGAGAAAAUGGUCAGUUUAUUCAAUCAUGGAAUAAGAAGUUAACUAAUCAACUUCACAGAAAAGAACUUAAGUGUUUCAGGGCAAUUACCUGCAUUUGGGACUUAGAGGGGUGAGUACAUUUAUUUUUCCUCUCUGUUUUCCUCUGGGAUGAUUUCUGUGGUAGGCGAAAUAAUGCCCCUCCCCUAAAAAAAAAAAAAAAAUGCCUGGAUGCUAAUCUUGGGAACCUGUGAAUAUGUUAUGUAGCCAAGGUGUUACAGAACCUGGACUGGAUCGCCCGAUGGAAGAACCAAGCGGCAUUCAGAGAUCUUGGAGGAUAGGAGGUUUAUUUAAUGCCAGUGGGCUCAGAGGAGAGUGAUCUCCAAAGGUCUGAGACCCAAGCACAAACAAAGGGGGUAAUUUAUACACUUCUACUUCCACACACUGGGCAAUCUUGGUGCGUGCGCAAAGCAGGGCGGGGAGAGGAACCUGGAUUGGCGCGUGUGGGAAGCAGAGCGGAGAGAGAAGAACCCAGAAGAGCCCUGGGGCAGGGGCUGGGACUCCCUUGUUGGCUCGGUUGGCCAUCUUAGGACACAGAUUUUUCCUUAUUAUUCCCCCCGCUUUGAUGCCCCUUUAAACACCUAGUUUAGAGGGCAUCAUUUUCAUUCUCUAAGGGGCGAUAGUGAGUAAGGAGCAAAUGUAGUCUGAUCUUAGCAAUUUGAGCAGUGAUAAACCUAGUAAGGGCUCACAAGGACCAAAUGCUGCUGUGAGGAGGAGCAUUAGGAGGGGGCCGAUGAGGGGGGCAAACCAAGGGAACCAUUGUGAGAGGGAAUCCUACCAAGUCGUCUGCUGGAGUGCUUCCCACCAGUGAUUCACUCAUUCCUGUAAUUGGUUCAGAGUUUCUUGGACCACCCCCAACUCAUUAGCAUAGAAACAACAUUUCUCCUGUAAGAAGAGGCAGAGUCCCCCUUGCAUGGUCAUGAGCAAGUUGAGCCCAUGCCUGUUUUGGAGGACCACUGAGGCCAGUGAAUCGAGUUGGCACUGCAGGGCCAGGGCUGAUUGAAUGAGGGUGGAAAAAUCUGCCAUGAGUUGUUGAGUUAGCCCCUGGUACUGAACUUGAGGCAUCCCAAUGCUGGUGGUGCUGAGGGCAACACCUGACGUGGCCAGCACGCUCACAAUAAGAGGGAUGGCUGCGGGGGAACGCAGCUAGGAGGUCUCCAUAUAAGUGGGGCAUCGCUCCCGGGGAGGACUGAAAGAUCAGGUAAGAGACUGACAAGUGUGCAUGAUUGAUCGCGUGGGGUGAUGCAAAUAUAUACACCUUGAUCACAAGACAGAAAAUUGUUGUUAGGCACACAGACCCGACUGUGACCUAUGACAGGAGAGGAAGGUUUCCGUACAGUGGUACCAGAACCAGAAAGGGAUAAUCUGAGGUCUCCGGUGCCAAGGUGGGAGGUGACAUGGUGGACUGGUUGAGGAUGACACUUAGGUAUUGGACGGGACUGGGUUUCAUACAGAUCCAGCAGUCAGAUGCUGGGGGUGGUUUUGAGUGGUUAAGUGCUUGGUGGGAGGUGUUAAUCAUACCUAACAGUUGCAGUAUAGAUGCUUGCUGUGUGUGGAUGGGGGACCCAGGCAUAUGACAGGGUGAGUUAUUUUCUGUCUGACUCUGAGGGUUGACUGCAAGGCUUGGGGUGAACAUGGACUUAAUCAUAAACUUGGUCAUGGGGUCGGUCCCUAUAGAGUGAUAUUGGCCCAACAGGAGAGUGAUUCUUGUGGCCCAUGAUGUGGCACUGGGUUCUAGGACUGAGAAAGUGAGUGGUAUACAGUGAUUGUUAGGGCAAGAAGAUGUUGUGUGACAAGGAAAUCUGGAUGUCACUGUGCUGUAUGAGGAUCCACCACCCCUUGGACCAUUGUUCCAUUCCCGGCCAAGUUGCCACCCAGGACUUGCAUCCCCAGGCUUGUGGGCAGAACUGGGGGCAGGUGUUUGGCUGUUGCAUAGGGCCCCCACAGAUGUAGAUAUCUACCAGCCAGUAACCUCUGUGAGGGCCAUGGUAGCAACAGAGUCUAUGAGGUUCCCAGGCGGUAUCAAGAAGCUGGCAUCCAUCAAAAUGGAGGUCAAACUUUGGUGUGUGCCCAUCCCAGUUGGAAGAAGUCAGUGGGGGUGCUGGUGCGGGGUUGAGGGGGAUAAGCUGGAGAGUCCCUUUGCUAGUAAUGGUGAUACGAGAGUUUGCCCCCCUUGCCAGGCCGGGCAAACUAGAGGCAGUGAGGAGGAACAGCACACCAGGUAGCAGAAGACCAGGACUGACUGGGGCCAGGAAGACCAUGGUGAAAUGUGCUCAAGGGUAGACCACAGAGGGCCAGUAAAAGUGGGGUCUACAACCUUAGGUAGAGGGAGCCAUCGUGCCUAACCUGGCAGCAGAUGAAACCUGGACAAGUGAGUGCAGUAAUACACCCUAGGGUCACCCAAUAAGCAAUGACAAUAGUAAGCCUCUGGGGGAAAGUCCAUCAGGAGGGGCAACAGUGUAGAGUUUGACUCCCAAGAUGAAGGAAAUCACACCGAUGAGAGCCAGGGACCAUGGUGAGCCGGUGUCCAUCAGUCGGUGGGGUCUCAUUGAAGGUGAGGUCCUCCUCUCGGGGUUCUUCAUUGUAGUGGCUGGGCUUCUGAGCCUUUCCCCGGUUGGGACAUUCAUUUUUCCAGUGACCUUUCACCUUACAGUAGGCACAUUGAUCCCUUGCCAAGGGGGUCCUGGGUCUCCCCCCUUUUGGUGGUCGGGGUCUCCCCACCUUUGUGUUGUCCUUUUCUUUCAGGGUGGCGGCGAGGAGGCUGACUUUCUUUUUCAUCUUUUUGUUGGCUUCCCGUUCGGCUGUGACCUCCUUGUUCAUGUAGACCUUAUUGGCAGUCUCUAUUAGCUGGGUGAUAUUCAUCCUGGCGAAACCCUCUAGUUUCUGAAGUUUUUUUCUGAUGUCUGGGUGGCCUGAGCCACGAAGCAGGUGUUUACCAUCUGUUGGCUUUCCUGUGCCUUGGGGUCAAAUGGAGUGUAUAUCCUGUAGGCUUCACGUAGUCUUUCGUAGUAGUCCCUGGGGGACUUCCCUGGUUGUUGAGUGACUGAGGAUACCUUAGUCAUGUUCAUGGGUUUCUUAGCUCCUGCCCGGAUUCCCCAGAGGAGGGCCUUCCUGUGCCGGUGGAUGUGGGCUUAUCCCUCGGUUGUGGUGAAGUCCCAUGCUGGGUGCUCUUUGGGUGAGGCCGUAUUAGCCCAGGCAGCAGGGUCAAUUACUCCCACUGGUCUUCCUGGUACUGCCGUGCACCUUUUAUUAUUCUCCUCCUUUCCUCUGUGUUAAAUAGGGUGCAGAGUAACUGUUGACAGUCUUCCCAGGUUGGCCUCUGGGUCUGGGGGUGGUGGGGAUCCUCGGCCUGGGGGCACCAGUGGAUCCUCUGGGCCUGGGGGCGCAGGUGAGACUGAAGGCUGCAGAGUGUCUGGAACUGAAGGGCCAGGUGUAGAUGGUCUUGGAGGUAUGUAUGGUGGGGGUGGGAUCGGUUCCCACUUGGGAUCUCCGGCUAGGAUUUGUGGAGACUGGGGCUUUUGCUGAUUUUCUUUAGGUCACUUGGAUGAGGUGAUUAAGACCCUGGCCUGUCCCUGCCUAUUGCAAGCGAAUCGCACCCAGGGGGGGAAGGUCUAGGCAAUUCCUAGCCAGGAGUCAAUGUACAAAAACUGGUCAGGGUGUCCUGGUUCUUCUGUUAAGACUCACCAUACUCGACAAAUCAUUGGGACAUCCAGUGUCCCUUCUGAAGGCCAUGCGACAUCAAAGGUGGGCCAUUCCAAUUCACAUAGGGUUCUCAACUUGCCAGGGUUCAUCCUGACUCCAUAGUCUCCCCAAAAUUCCCAUAGUCUCUAGAACCAUAGGUUUUCUCUGCCCUGACCCCAUGGUGAUGUCCCUGUGUGUGGU